ACGAAGGAUGCAAGCGUUAUCCGGAUUUAUUGGGUUUAAAGGGUGCGUAGGCGGCCAAUUAAGUCAGUGGUGAAAGCCGAUAGCUUAACUAUCGAAUUGCCAUUGAAACUGGUUGGCUUGAGUACAUUUGUUGUGGGCGGAAUAUGACAUGUAGCGGUGAAAUGCUUAGAGAUGUCAUAGAACACCGAUUGCGAAGGCAGCUCACAAAACUGUAACUGACGCUGAGGCACGAAAGCGUGGGGAUCAAACAGG
This 252-nucleotide ribosomal RNA is filed under the name uncultured bacterium. RNAcentral's name for it is "partial 16S ribosomal RNA". It matches the Rfam family "Bacterial small subunit ribosomal RNA", at positions 525 to 776 of the family's 1533-position model. The record is from RNAcentral.